This 257-nucleotide ribosomal RNA is filed under the name uncultured bacterium. RNAcentral's name for it is "partial 16S ribosomal RNA". It matches the Rfam family "Bacterial small subunit ribosomal RNA", at positions 524 to 776 of the family's 1533-position model. The record is from RNAcentral.
UACAGAGACCUCAAGCGUUAUCCGGAAUCAUUGGGCGUAAAGCGUACCGAUAGGUGGUUUCCAAAGUCAGAGGUGAAAUCUCAAGGCUCAACCUUGAGUCUGUCCUUUGAUCCUUGUAAACUUGAGGGGCAAAGAGGAAGCUGGAACAAACGGUGUAGUAGUGAAAUGCGUUGAUAUCGUUUGGAACACCAAUAGCGUAGGCAGGCUUCUGGGUGCCACCUGACACUGCUAGGACGAAAGCGUGGGGAGCGAAUGGG